UAAUACGGAGGGUGCAAGCGUUAUCCGGAAUCACUGGGUUUAAAGGGUGCGUAGGCGGUUAUAUAAGUCCAUGGUGAAAGACGGCAGCUUAACUGUCGCAGUGCCAUUGAUACUGUAUGACUUGAAUAAGGAUGAGGUUGGCGGAAUGUGACAUGUAGCGGUGAAAUGCAUAGAUAUGUCAUAGAACACCAAUUGCGAAGGCAGCUGACUAGACCUUUAUUGACGCUGAGGCACGAAAGCGUGGGGAUCGAACAGGAUUAGAUACCCUGGUAGUCCACGCCCUAAACGAUGCUAACUCGUUGUUUGGCCGUGAGGUUGAGCGACUAAGGGAAACCGAUAAGUUAGCCACCUGGGGAGUACGCUCGCAAGAGUG
This 373-nucleotide ribosomal RNA is filed under the name uncultured bacterium. RNAcentral's name for it is "bacterial SSU rRNA". It matches the Rfam family "Bacterial small subunit ribosomal RNA", at positions 521 to 896 of the family's 1533-position model. The record is from RNAcentral.